This is a long non-coding RNA of Stegostoma tigrinum, 514 nucleotides long. RefSeq lists it as uncharacterized. NCBI's taxonomy places the organism in Eukaryota, Metazoa, Chordata, Chondrichthyes, Orectolobiformes, Stegostomatidae. The record is from RefSeq and is a predicted model, not a curated record. The transcript has 4 exons.
AACAUGCUUGUGUCCCAGUGGUAAUAAAAUGUGAGGCUGGAUGAACACAGCAGGCCAAGCAGCAUCUCAGGAGCACAAAAGCUGACGUUUCGGGCCUAGACCCUUCAUCAUUAUCUCUGUGUCCCAGUGGUAAUGUCUCUACCUCUGGGUCAGAAGGACUGGAUUCAAGCCCCACCUGUAGCUGAAAGUCUGUCGUGUUUUAUUCAGCUGUGAUUUGGCAAGAAGCAUGUGUCCCAAUUAUCAGCUCAGGAUGAAUCAUGUCUGGAAAGGUCAUCUGAACCAAGAUGCUUUCCAAGAUGCUGUGGGCUAAGUGCCUUGGGAAUUCGGAGUCAGCAGUAUGCUUGAAAGAUUCAGCAGUCACCCACAGCUUGAGUGCUGUCUCAGAUGAAGGAUAUUGUGCUGUUUGCUUGCUUUGAAUAAAUAACUAGAAAAUGGUUGAUCUCGGGUGGUAAAUGCUCAAGACUGUACCAUUGCCUGUAUAAUUGUACAAAUAAAGAUUUUUGAGUCAUAUGUA